RNAcentral lists this ribosomal RNA (441 nucleotides) under uncultured bacterium. RNAcentral describes it as "bacterial SSU rRNA". It matches the Rfam family "Bacterial small subunit ribosomal RNA", at positions 338 to 795 of the family's 1533-position model. The record is from RNAcentral.
CCUACGGGGGGCAGCAGUGAGGAAUCUUCCGCAAUGGGCGCAAGCCUGACGGAGCAACGCCGCGUGGAGGACGACGGCCUUCGGGUUGUAAACUCCUUUUCUGUCGAACGAGAACGGACGGUACGGCAGGAAGAAGCCUCGGCUAACUACGUGCCAGCAGCCGCGGUAAUACGUAGGAGGCGAGCGUUGUCCGGAGUUACUGGGCGUAAAGGGUGCGCAGGCGGCCGCUUGCGUGGGGGGUGAAAUCGCCUGGCUCAACUGGGCGGGGGCCUUCCAAACGGGGCGGCUUGAGGAGCGGAGAGGGACGUGGAAUUCCGGGUGGAGCGGUGAAAUGCGUAGAGAUCCGGAGGAACACCGACGGCGUAGGCAGCGUCCUGGCCGCCUCCUGACGCUCAGGCACGAAAGCUGGGGGAGCAAACAGGAUUAGAUACCCCUGUAGUC